Molecule: ribosomal RNA, 506 nt
Filed under: uncultured bacterium
Lineage: Bacteria
Description: partial 16S ribosomal RNA
Rfam family: Bacterial small subunit ribosomal RNA
Source: RNAcentral
AGUGAACGCUGGCGGUAGGCCUAACACAUGCAAGUCGAACGGCAGCACAGGAGAGCUUGCUCUCUGGGUGGCGAGUGGCGGACGGGUGAGGAAUACAUCGGAAUCUACUCUGUCGUGGGGGAUAACGUAGGGAAACUUACGCUAAUACCGCAUACGACCUACGGGUGAAAGCAGGGGACCUUCGGGCCUUGCGCGAUUGAAUGAGCCGAUGUCGGAUUAGCUAGUUGGCGGGGUAAAGGCCCACCAAGGCGACGAUCCGUAGCUGGUCUGAGAGGAUGAUCAACCACACUGGAACUGAGACAAGAUACAGACUCCUACGGGAGGCAGCAGUGGGGAAUAUUGGACAAUGGGCGCAAGCCUGAUCCAGCCAUACAGCGUGGGUGAAGAAGGCCUUCGGGUUGUAAAGCCCUUUUGUUGGUAAAGAAAUCCAGCUGGCUAAUACCCGGUUGGGAUGACGGUACCCAAAGAAUAAGCACCGGCUAACUUCGUGCCAGCCGCCGCGGUAA